This 511-nucleotide ribosomal RNA is filed under the name uncultured bacterium. Its description in RNAcentral is "partial 16S ribosomal RNA". It matches the Rfam family "Bacterial small subunit ribosomal RNA", at positions 28 to 523 of the family's 1533-position model. The record is from RNAcentral.
GACGAACGCUGGCGGCGUGCCUAAUACAUGCAAGUAGAACGCUGAAGGGAGAGCUUGCUCUUCUGGAUGAGUUGCGAACGGGUGAGUAACGCGUAGGUAACCUGCCUGGUAGCGGGGGAUACCUAGUGGAAACGAUAGCUAAUACCGCAUAACAGCAAAUGUUGCAUGACAUUUGCUUAAGAGGUGCAAUUGCAUCACUACCAGAUGGACCUGCGUUGUAUUAGCUAGUUGGUGGGGUAACGGCUCACCAAGGCGAAGAUACAUAGCCGACCUGAGAGGGUGAUCGGCCACACUGGGACUGAGACACGGCCCAGACUCCUACGGGAGGCAGCAGUAGGGAAUCUUCGGCAAUGGACGGAAGUCUGACCGAGCAACGCCGCGUGAGUGAAGAAGGUUUUCGGAUCGUAAAGCUCUGUUGUAAGAGAAGAACGAGUGUGAGAGUGGAAAGUUCACACUGUGACGGUAUCUUACCAGAAAGGGACGGCUAACUACGUGCCAGCCGCCGCAGUAA